GCAUUAGAAAGGAUUAACUGUGUUCUUUCAAAAAGAAUUUUGAGUUGUUGGUCGCACGGGGGCGAUGAAUUAAGUUUAAUAUGUUCGGUAUUUUGAAGAAGAACGAUGAAAGAUUGAGUAAUAUGGUGCACACCAAUCGUCCAAUCCUUUCGAGAAAUAACAAGGCAAACGCCUUCUAUUCCUUUUUCGUCCGAAUUAUUUUGAAAGUUCGUUUGUGGAUGUUGGACGUGCACGGUAGUGAGGCGUACGCCUCCUACUUGCUUAUUCAAAGAAUAAUGAGGCGAGUGCCCCCUAU
This 295-nucleotide long non-coding RNA is filed under the name Lathyrus oleraceus (garden pea). RNAcentral describes it as "Pisum sativum (pea) long non-coding RNA (PSAT_LNC039700)". Lineage: Eukaryota; Viridiplantae; Streptophyta; Magnoliopsida; Fabales; Fabaceae. The record is from RNAcentral.